ACGCUGGCGGCGUGCUUAACACAUGCAAGUCGAACGAUGAAGCCUAGCUUGCUAGGUGGAUUAGUGGCGAACGGGUGAGUAAUACGUGAGUAACCUACCUUUAACUCUGGGAUAAGCCUGGGAAACUGGGUCUAAUACCGGAUACGACCAAUCUCCGCAUGGGGUGUUGGUGGAAAGCGUUAUGUAGUGGUUAUAGAUGGGCUCACGGCCUAUCAGCUUGUUGGUGAGGUAACGGCUCACCAAGGCGACGACGGGUAGCCGGCCUGAGAGGGUGACCGGCCACACUGGGACUGAGACACGGCCCAGACUCCUACGGGAGGCAGCAGUGGGGAAUAUUGCACAAUGGGCGCAAGCCUGAUGCAGCGACGCCGCGUGAGGGAUGACGGCCUUCGGGUUGUAAACCUCUGUUAGCAGGGAAGAAGAGAAAUUGACGGUACCUGCAGAGAAAGCGCCGGCUAACUACGUGCCAGCAGCCGCGGUAAUACGUAGGGCGCGAGCGUUGUCCGGAAUUAUUGGGCGUAAAGAGCUUGUAGGCGGUUUGUCGCGUCUGCUGUGAAAGGCCGGGGCUUAACCCCGUGUAUUGCAGUGGGUACGGGCAGACUAGAGUGCAGUAGGGGAGACUGGAAUUCCUGGUGUAGCGGUGGAAUGCGCAGAUAUCAGGAGGAACACCGAUGGCGAAGGCAGGUCUCUGGGCUGUAACUGACGCUGAGAAGCGAAAGCAUGGGGAGCGAACAGGAUUAGAUACCCUGGUAGUCCAUGCCGUAAACGUUGGGCACUAGGUGUGGGGGACAUUCCACGUUUUCCGCGCCGUAGCUAACGCAUUAAGUGCCCCGCCUGGGGAGUACGGCCGCAAGGCUAAAACUCAAAGAAAUUGACGGGGGCCCGCACAAGCGGCGGAGCA
Molecule: ribosomal RNA, 901 nt
Filed under: uncultured bacterium
Lineage: Bacteria
Description: bacterial SSU rRNA
Rfam family: Bacterial small subunit ribosomal RNA
Source: RNAcentral